Molecule: ribosomal RNA, 477 nt
Filed under: uncultured Planctomycetales bacterium
Lineage: Bacteria; Pseudomonadati; Planctomycetota; Planctomycetia; Planctomycetales
Description: bacterial SSU rRNA
Rfam family: Bacterial small subunit ribosomal RNA
Source: RNAcentral
UUUCGCAAUGCCCGAAAGGGUGACGAAGCGACGCCGCGUGCGGGAAGAAGGCCUUCGGGUUGUAAACCGCUGUCGGGAGUUAAGAAAUGUAAGGAUGUUAAUAGCAUCUUUGCUUGACUAAGGCUCCGGAGGAAGCCACGGCUAACUCUGUGCCAGCAGCCGCGGUAAUACAGAGGCGGCAAGCGUUGUUCGGAAUUAUUGGGCGUAAAGAGCACGUAGGCGGCUAUGUAAGUCGGUUGUGAAAGCCUUCCGCUCAACGGGAGAACAGCAUCCGAUACUGCAUGGCUUGAGUGCGGGAGGGGAGAGUGGAACUUCUGGUGGAGCGGUGAAAUGCGUAGAUAUCAGAAGGAACGCCGGCGGCGAAAGCGGCUCUCUGGCCCAUAACUGACGCUGAGUGUGCGAAAGCUAGGGGAGCAAACGGGAUUAGAUACCCCGGUAGUCCUAGCCGUAAACGAUGGGCACUAAGAGAGGGGUUUU